Molecule: ribosomal RNA, 1491 nt
Filed under: metagenome
Description: bacterial SSU rRNA
Rfam family: Bacterial small subunit ribosomal RNA
Source: RNAcentral
AGAGUUUGAUCCUGGCUCAGGACGAACGCUGGCGGCGUGCUUAACACAUGCAAGUCGAACGAGAGGACAAGAGAAGCUUGCUCCUUUUGGAAUCGAGUGGCAAACGGGUGAGUAACACGUAAACAACCUGCCUUCAGGAUGGGGACAACAGACGGAAACGACUGCUAAUACCGAAUACGCUUGGAAGACCGCAUGAUCUUCCAAGGAAAGGGUGGCCUCUACCUGUAAGCUAUCGCCUGAAGAGGGGUUUGCGUCUGAUUAGGCAGUUGGUGAGGUAACGGCCCACCAAACCUACGAUCAGUAGCCGGUCUGAGAGGAUGAACGGCACACUGGAACUGAGACACGGCCCAGACUCCUACGGGAGGCAGCAGUGGGGGAUAUUGCACAAUGGGGGAAACCCUGAUGCAGCGACGCCGCGUGGAGGAAGAAGGUUUUCGGAUUGUAAACUCCUGUCGUUAGGGACGAUAAUGACGGUACCUAACAAGAAAGCACCGGCUAACUACGUGCCAGCAGCCGCGGUAAAACGCAGGGUGCAAGCGUUGUCCGGAAUUACUGGGUGUAAAGGGAGCGCAGGCGGGAAGACAAGUUGGAAGUGAAAACCAUGGGCUCAACCCAUGAAUUGCUUUCAAAACUGUUUUUCUUGAGUAGUGCAGAGGUAGAUGGAAUUCCCGGUGUAGCGGUGGAAUGCGUAGAUAUCGGGAGGAACACCAGUGGCGAAGGCGGUCUACUGGGCACCAACUGACGCUGAGGCUCGAAAGCAUGGGUAGCAAACAGGAUUAGAUACCCUGGUAGUCCAUGCCGUAAACGAUGAUUACUAGGUGUUGGGGGAUUGACCCCCUCAGUGCCGCAGUUAACACAAUAAGUAAUCCACCUGGGGAGUACGACCGCAAGGUUGAAACUCAAAGGAAUUGACGGGGGCCCGCACAAGCAGUGGAGUAUGUGGUUUAAUUCGAAGCAACGCGAAGAACCUUACCAGGUCUUGACAUCCGAUGCAUAGCACAGAGAUGUGUGAAAUCCUUCGGGACAUCGAGACAGGUGGUGCAUGGUUGUCGUCAGCUCGUGUCGUGAGAUGUUGGGUUAAGUCCCGCAACGAGCGCAACCCUUAUUGCCAGUUACUACGUUAAGAGGACUCUGGCGAGACUGCCGUUGACAAAACGGAGGAAGGUGGGGAUGACGUCAAAUCAUCAUGCCCUUUAUGACCUGGGCUACACACGUACUACAAUGGCGUUAAACAAAGAGAAGCAAGACCGCGAGGUGGAGCAAAACUCAAAAACAACGUCUCAGUUCAGAUUGCAGGCUGCAACUCGCCUGCAUGAAGUCGGAAUUGCUAGUAAUCGCGGAUCAGCAUGCCGCGGCGAAUACGUUCCCGGGCCUUGUACACACCGCCCGUCACACCAUGAGAGCCGGGGGGACCCGAAGUCGAUAGUCUAACCGCAAGGAGGACGUCGCCGAAGGUAAAACUGGUGAUUGGGGUGAAGUCGUAACAAGGUA